GCUCUAGCUGAGUUGGGAGAGCAUUGGACUAGCAAACCAAAGGUCGCGGGCUCGAUUCCCUCAGCU
This is a non-coding RNA of Paramuricea clavata, 66 nucleotides long. NCBI's taxonomy places the organism in Eukaryota, Metazoa, Cnidaria, Anthozoa, Malacalcyonacea, Plexauridae. The record is from the annotation of a GenBank genome assembly.